RNAcentral lists this non-coding RNA (232 nucleotides) under Serpentinicella alkaliphila. The record is from RNAcentral. Lineage: Bacteria; Bacillati; Bacillota; Clostridia; Peptostreptococcales; Natronincolaceae.
AAAUUCCAAUCUAGGCAAGGGGUGAAGCCGCCUCACCUAGAAUCGAGUCUUGGGGGUGGGAAGGUAACGACCCACGCUAAGCGUAGACAGAGCGAAAUUAGGCCGUAACGUAAGUGAAGCGAUUGAGCCUCGUUAAAACAUCCGGAGGCCGACAAGGUCGAAAACUUGGAAGGCUAUAGUAACUUUCCGCUAAUGGCAAGGAAAGUGGAGACUCCGGCGGGGUCUGAGAGCA